RNAcentral lists this ribosomal RNA (450 nucleotides) under uncultured bacterium. Its description in RNAcentral is "partial 16S ribosomal RNA". It matches the Rfam family "Bacterial small subunit ribosomal RNA", at positions 354 to 796 of the family's 1533-position model. The record is from RNAcentral.
GUGGGGAAUAUUGGACAAUGGGCGAAAGCCUGAUCCAGCCAUGCCGCGUGUGUGAAGAAGGUCUUCGGAUUGUAAAGCACUUUAAGUUGGGAGGAAGGGCAGUAAGCUAAUACCUUGCUGUUUUGACGUUACCGACAGAAUAAGCACCGGCUAACUCUGUGCCAGCAGCCGCGGUAAUACAGAGGGUGCAAGCGUUAAUCGGAAUUACUGGGCGUAAAGCGCGCGUAGGUGGUUCGUUAAGUUGGAUGUGAAAGCCCCGGGCUCAACCUGGGAACUGCAUCCAAAACUGGCGAGCUAGAGUACGGUAGAGGGUGGUGGAAUUUCCUGUGUAGCGGUGAAAUGCGUAGAUAUAGGAAGGAACACCAGUGGCGAAGGCGACUACCUGGACUGAUACUGACACUGAGGUGCGAAAGCGUGGGGAGCAAACAGGAUUAGAUACCCCGGUAGUCC